CCUACGGGUGGCAGCAGUGAGGAAUAUUGGUCAAUGGACGCAAGUCUGAACCAGCCAAGCCGCGUGCGGGAAGACGGCUCUAUGGAUUGUAAACUUCAUUUGUCCGAGAGUAAACGCAGAUACGCGUGUCUUUCUGAGAGUAUCGUACGAAUAAGCAUCGGCUAACUCCGUGCCAGCAGCCGCGGUAAUACGGAGGAUUCAAGCGUUAUCCGGAUUUAUUGGGUUUAAAGGGUGCGUAGGCGGUAGGAUAAGUUAGAGGUAAAAUCCAGAGGCUCAACUUCGGAAUUGCCGCUGAUACUGGUCGUCUAGAGAGUAGUUGAGGUAGGCGGAAUGCAUGGUGUAGCGGUGAAAUGCGUAGAGAUCACACAGAACACCGAUUGCGAAGGCAGCUUACCAAGCUACUUCUGACGUUGAGGCACGAAAGCGUGGGGAGCAAACAGGAUUAGAUACCCUAGUAGUC
This 460-nucleotide ribosomal RNA is filed under the name uncultured bacterium. RNAcentral describes it as "partial 16S ribosomal RNA". It matches the Rfam family "Bacterial small subunit ribosomal RNA", at positions 338 to 795 of the family's 1533-position model. The record is from RNAcentral.